Molecule: ribosomal RNA, 253 nt
Filed under: uncultured bacterium
Lineage: Bacteria
Description: partial 16S ribosomal RNA
Rfam family: Bacterial small subunit ribosomal RNA
Source: RNAcentral
UACGAUGGGAGCUCGCGUUGAUCGGAAUAACUGGGCGUAAAGAGCUCGUAGGAGGAUUUGCAAGUCAGGGGUGAAAUCCCGGGGCUUAACCUCGGAACUGCCUUUGAAACUGCAAAUCUGGAAUCUCUGAGGGGAUAGCGGAAUUCCUAAUGUAGGGGUGAAAUCCGUAGAUAUUAGGAGGAACACCGGUGGCGAAGGCGGCUAUCUGGAUGAGUAUUGAUGCUGAGGAGCGAAAGCGUGGGUAUCAAACAGG